Long non-coding RNA from Pseudophryne corroboree (corroboree frog), 444 nucleotides. RefSeq lists it as uncharacterized. The transcript has 3 exons. The record is from RefSeq and is a predicted model, not a curated record. NCBI's taxonomy places the organism in Eukaryota, Metazoa, Chordata, Amphibia, Anura, Myobatrachidae.
GGUCGGCGCCAGGGAUCUCUGGGAUGCCGAAUGGAAUAGAGCCUCCACAUGGAGCUGAGAGUCCAACUGUUGCCGCUAUUAGCCGAUCCAGGUGGUGAGCGAUGACUCUGGGGAUGAGCCAGAGAGUCAGGAUACUGAGGUUCCCAUGGGUCACAUGGGAAAAGAAGCCGGCAGCGUGGUGUCGGCGGUGGAUGGAGGUGCAGCUAAAGGUGACAGAAGGGGUACCAAGCGCAAUCCGUGGACCCCAGCAGAAGUGAAAGCUGUUGAACGUCGCAUGAUUCGGUUCAUUCGCUCAUUCAAGGUGCCGGGCAAGAAUGACUGUGAUGCGUGCCUAAGGGCAGAACGACAAGCGCUGAAGGCUCGGAACUGGCUCUCGGUUAAGUUUUACAUUAAGAACCGAAUUACUGCUGAAAUGAGAAAGAACCUUUCCUGAAUAAAAUGUAU